Molecule: ribosomal RNA, 490 nt
Filed under: uncultured bacterium
Lineage: Bacteria
Description: partial 16S ribosomal RNA
Rfam family: Bacterial small subunit ribosomal RNA
Source: RNAcentral
AUUGAACGCUGGCGGCAGGCCUAACACAUGCAAGUCGAACGGUAACAGGAAGCAGCUUGCUGCUUUGCUGCCGAGUGGCGGCCGGGUGAGUAAUGUCUGGGAAACUGCCCGAUGGAGGGGGAUAACUACUGGAAACGGUAGCUAAUACCGCAUAACGUCGCAAGACCAAAGAGGGGGACCUUAGGGCCUCUUGCCAUCGGAUGUGCCCAGAUGGGAUUAGCUAGUAGGUGGGGUAACGGCUCACCUAGGCGACGAUCCCUAGCUGGUCUGAGAGGAUGACCAGCCACACUGGAACUGAGACACGGUCCAGACUCCUACGGGAGGCAGCAGUGGGGAAUAUUGCACAAUGGGCGCAAGCCUGAUGCAGCCACGCCGCGUGUAUGAAGAAAGCCUUCGGGUUGUAAAGUACUAUCAGCGGGGAGGAAGGGAGUAAAGUUAAUACCUUUGCACAUUGACGUUACCCGCAGAAGAAGCACCGGCUAACUCCGUG